This 440-nucleotide ribosomal RNA is filed under the name uncultured bacterium. Its description in RNAcentral is "bacterial SSU rRNA". It matches the Rfam family "Bacterial small subunit ribosomal RNA", at positions 954 to 1392 of the family's 1533-position model. The record is from RNAcentral.
GCAGAACGCGAAGAACCUUACCUACACUUGACAUACCUCUUGGGGCUUUCAGAGAUGAUUGCUUUCGGUUCGGCCGGGGAGGAUACAGGUGCUGCAUGGCUGUCGUCAGCUCGUGUCGUGAGAUGUUGGGUUAAGUCCCGCAACGAGCGCAACCCUUAUCAUUAGCUGCUACCAUUAAGUUGAGCACUCUAAUGAGACUGCCCGGGUUAACCGGGAGGAAGGUGGGGAUGACGUCAAAUCAUCAUGCCCCUUAUGUCUAGGGCCACACACGUGCUACAAUGGUGAGUACAACGAGAUGCGAACCCGCGAGGGGGAGCUAAACUUAAAAACUCAUCUCAGUUCGGAUUGCAGGCUGCAACUCGCCUGCAUGAAGCUGGAGUUGCUAGUAAUCGCGAAUCAGAAUGUCGCGGUGAAUAUGUUCCCGGGUCUUGUACACACCG